This 89-nucleotide transfer RNA is filed under the name Thomasclavelia spiroformis. Its description in RNAcentral is "[Clostridium] spiroforme tRNA-Ser". It matches the Rfam family "tRNA". From Rfam's summary of the family: Transfer RNA (tRNA) molecules are approximately 80 nucleotides in length. Their secondary structure includes four short double-helical elements and three loops (D, anti-codon, and T loops). RNAcentral also lists the same sequence under 3 other names. Lineage: Bacteria; Bacillati; Bacillota; Erysipelotrichia; Erysipelotrichales; Coprobacillaceae. The record is from RNAcentral.
GGAGAGUUGGGGGAGUUGGCUUAACCCAUCGUCCUGCUAAGACGACGUACCUCAAAAGGGUGCCACUAGUUCGAAUCUAGUACUCUCCG